RNAcentral lists this ribosomal RNA (404 nucleotides) under uncultured fungus. Its description in RNAcentral is "eukaryotic LSU rRNA". The stretch from base 1 to 125 matches the Rfam family "5.8S ribosomal RNA", at positions 30 to 154 of the family's 154-position model. The record is from RNAcentral. Lineage: Eukaryota; Fungi.
GCAUCGAUGAAGAACGCAGCGAAAUGCGAUAAGUAAUGUGAAUUGCAGAAUUCAGUGAAUCAUCGAAUCUUUGAACGCACCUUGCGCUCCAUGGUAUUCCGUGGAGCAUGCCUGUUUGAGUGUCAUGAAUACUUCAACCCUCCUCUUUCUUAAUGAUUGAAGAGGUGUUUGGUUUCUGAGCGCUGCUGGCCUUUACGGUCUAGCUCGUUCGUAAUGCAUUAGCAUCCGCAAUCGAACUUCGGAUUGACUUGGCGUAAUAGACUAUUCGCUGAGGAAUUCUAGUCUUCGGAUUAGAGCCGGGUUGGGUUAAAGGAAGCUUCUAAUCAGAAUGUCUACAUUUUAAGAUUAGAUCUCAAAUCGGGUAGGACUACCCGCUGAACUUAAGCAUAUCAAUAAGCGGAGGA